Long non-coding RNA from Lagopus leucura (white-tailed ptarmigan), 2090 nucleotides. RefSeq lists it as uncharacterized. The record is from RefSeq and is a predicted model, not a curated record. NCBI's taxonomy places the organism in Eukaryota, Metazoa, Chordata, Aves, Galliformes, Phasianidae. The transcript has 3 exons.
UGUGUGCCCCGCUCCUGGUCUUCAGCACAAGCCACACCACCGGAGUACUCCCCGUCUAAAAGUACUCCCUAAGACCACAAAUAAGGCGGUGCGUGGGAAAGAUGCUUGCUGAAAGCGCCAAGGCUGCUGCGGUCUGAAGGCACUGCCCGUCCUCCGGAACAGAUUGUACCUUCCCUCCUUCCUCCUCCAAUACUGAGCCCAUUAGUAAUGGCUAGUAAUUAACACUUCCUCGUUAGGCACUGACACUUUUUUUUUAAAUUAUCACUUCGCAGAUGCAGAAACUUAGUUGGAUUUUAUAAUAUCACUGAAUGCAGCAGUGCACACAAACACACAUGCACAAAAGAAUUACUGCAUACUAACAUUCACCUCGACAAGUAAUUUCAGCUAUUAAAUUUAUACCCACUUCUGUUAGACUAAUGAAGGAAUUAGCAAUAAAAUAAUAUUGAAGUUAAUUCCACUCAAAUUAUUAAUACUCGAGUAUUGCUAAUUAUAAUUGGUAAUAUGAUCAUGAAUAGUCAUUAUUAACAUGAAAGUGUUAUUGCUGAUAUUGAAGUCCUCCACUUCUUGAUCUAUUUUAAAUGAUACAAGAAACGUGUUCCCAUGCUGAUCCAUGGCGUCUGUAUCAAACCUACCAAAAACAAGUGUAGCACCUUGGAUUCUUGCCUGCAGUUUACCAGCAGCUAUUUUGCCCCACCUCUCACAGCCAUCCUUCAGAAGCAUGAACCAACUUUUCACUUCACUCGUGAACAGUAAAUAAUUCAGUGACACAAGACUGGAUUAAAUCAGAAGACCAAAAUCCCUGUUCAGAAGGAACAAGUGUGUUAGGCACGCUACAUCAGUGAUGGUAUCAGAAGCAUUCCGAAGAGCAGUGUGACAGCAGUGACACAGCUCAGCCCUCUGCAGUGAUACCUGCCUGAGCGAGCCCUGCUAGCUACACUGCACUACAACACAGCCUGCAGGCACCUCACAGUCUGGCUUCUUGGGUUCCACAGAGGGUUUCAUUAACAAAUGCAUCCCAAAGGGAUUUGGAAGGCACUUUGCAGAUUUGUAGGUGAGGCAGUAAUCAGCAGCUCUAAGCUGAAGCUCACUUGAAGAACAGUUCUUCAAACAAACCGCUCAGUCAAUGACAGUGAGUGACUCCACUGGUUUCUGAAUUACAGCCUUAAAGGAACCACACAGGAAAAAUCCAGAUAAUCUAAAAACAAGUAAUGUGGCUAAUCCUUAACUAGUCAAUUCUGCUAACAUUCAUAUCAAUUGUCUUGAUUUCAUACAGACAUUGAACACACUGUUUUUAUUCUGAGACCAGGCAGUAAACAGGCAACUCCUAAGGUUGUUGCAAAUAAUCAACAAAAGAAGGCUUGGACAACUGAAUUAUUUGGGCUUCCCGAGCAUUUUUUCUUUGGAGAGCCACAUUCCAAGAAGAUAUUGGUUGAUGUUUCUCUCUGCAGAAAUCUGUGGUAAAAUUUGAAUUAAUAAAAACCUAAGUAAACCUUUAAGAGUUUUACUUGCUUUAAGAGUAGUGCUUUAAGAGUUUUAGUGCUUUAAGAGUAUUACUGAGUUGUGGGUUUGUUUGUUGUUUUUAGUUUAUAAAAAACACAAAUAAAUCCAAUCCUGAGCUCUGGCAUUAAGUGCCAAAUUCCUACAGGUGCAGAAUGUCUUCAUCUUUCCAUGCCAUGUCAGAAAAGAAAAAGGGAUAUCACCUAUUUCUGGAUCCCACACAAAUGGAUGCGUGAAGAAGAGAAUGCACAAGAGACAAGAGGAAUUAAAAGUUCCAGCUUACCAGAUGACAGUGUUUGCUACUACUCCUGGCUUUAGAAGCCACUGGAAGCUGCUGCAAAAUAGAGGAGCCUUCCAAAACUUGCUGCUAUUGGCUGACUUGGUGGCUACGCAGCUCCACAAGUCAAGUCCAAAAGCUUCCUUUAUGUCAGCCCUCCCUGCUGCUCUGAGUGGCUCCUAAUGCUAAGUUUCAGCAUACAGAAUUCUAAAUUCCUGAAAUGUCAUUCUGUCCACAAAGUAUUCAAUACACUCUUAAUAGUUCACCUAAAAAAAUAAAACUCAUGGAUAAUUUUUUCCCACUGACUCACUCCGAA